AGAAUUCAUUUAUGUGGGUUGGGCCGAAACCAAGAGUAAACAUCAUGAACCCUGAUCAGAUAAGGGACGUAUUCAUGAAGAUAAAUGAAUAUCAGAAGCCCUUCCACCCGCUGUUGAAACCUCUAGCAUGUGGACUUGCAAGUCACGAGGGUGAAAAAUGGGCUAAACAUAGAAAGAUAAUCAACCCAGCAUUUCAUCAAGAGAAGCUAAAGGUGAUCAUGAUAGUCUCAACUUAUGUGCCUAUAAGCAUCCAUGCUAUUCGAUAGCCUUGAAUGAGUAGCAUGCAUGUUUUGCUCUCAUAUAGCUGUAAUAUAAAACUUUCGAUGAUUAUAUGUUCUGUUUUACAGCUUAUGAUACCUGCGUUUUCCGAAAGUUGUAGUGGGAUGAUUAACAAGUGGGAGAAGCUGGUCUCUGUAGACGAGGGGUCAUGUGAAUUGGAUGUCUGGCCUGAUCUUCAAGGAUUAGCAUGUGAUGCUAUUUCUCGAACGUCGUUUGGAAGUAAUUACGAAGAAGGAAAAAGAAUAUUUGAUCUCCUCAAGGAACUAACCGAUCUUACAGUUCAUGUUAUAAUAAAAGCAAUUGUCAUACCAGGGUACAGGUAACUCUUUAUUCUGUUUUUGCUGGACAUUACAAUUCAGUUCCUUCAAGUUAGUCCCUGUUCAAUGAGAUAUAUCUUGAAAGUAAGAAGAAGAACAAAUCCAAAUCUCUUGACAACAUGUUCAUGUGGAUUGCAUGUAGGUUUCUGCCGAUCCCAUCUAAUAGAAGGCUAAAAGCUAUUGACCAAGAAAUAAAAGCUUCUCUUAAUGCUCUCAUCACCAAAAGAGAGAAAGCAAUGAGUGGUGGUGAAGAUGCAAAGAAUGACUUGUUGGAUAUACUUCUGGAAUCCAAUUUUAGAGAAAUACAAGAGCAUGGAAAUACCAAGAUCGUCGGAAUGAGCAUUGAAGAUGUGGUUGACGAAUGUAAAAUAUUCUACUUUGCUGGACAAGAAACAACCUCAGUUCUUCUUACCUGGACCAUGGUUUUAUUGGCUCAGUAUCCGAAAUGGCAAGCACGCGCAAGAGAAGAGGUUGUGCAAGUCUUCGGUAACAAAAAACCAGAUUUCGAUGGGCUAAAUCACCUUAAAGUUGUGAGUAUCUCUGCAUUUGCAACUGAAUUCUUGUACAUCAAUAUUGUGUUGUUAUUGUUAAGAACACAGAGCAUUCUUGUAUUUAAAAUGAAAGCUUAGGUAUCCUUUGAAGAAACAAUAAGAUAGCAGAAAAAAAACGUUCAUGUUUUCUUUCGUUGAAUUAUUAAUCGGCCAAAAUGACGAGGAAAAGCAACCAACAGAUGAGUACGCAAGCAAGCUAGGACGUGACAUCUAUAUACAUUAAGAAUGAGAUUUACUAGUUCUUGGAUCAACAUAAAAAUUCUCAAUUUAGUAAGUUGAAAUGGCAUGCAAAUGAUCUCUAUAUAUGCGAUAUUUUAUUUUAUCAAAGUGCAUAGCAUGUCACCUUUUUAAUGGAUUCUUACCAUGGAGUAUCGUUCUCUCUUUUGAUGCAUGUUACAGGUUACCAUGAUUUUGUAUGAAGUUCUUAGGUUAUACCCGCCGGUAAUUAUGCUUAAUCGAGAUGUUCAUGAAGAAAUAAAGCUUGGAAAUUUGCUAUUACCUGCCGGAGUGCAGAUCUCGGUGCCAACAAUCCUCCUUCACCAAGAUCAUGAACUAUGGGGUGAUGAUGUCUCUGAGUUCAAACCAGAGAGGUUUGCUGAAGGUGUUUCAAAGGCAACAAAGAGUCAAGUCUCAUUCCUUCCAUUUGGAUGGGGUCCUCGAAUAUGCGUUGGACAAAACUUUGCUUUGAUUGAAGCAAAAAUGGCUUUGGCAAUGGUUUUACAGCGUUACUCUUUUGAGCUCUCGCCGUCGUAUAUUCAUGCUCCUCGCACUGUCAUAACUCUUCAGCCACAGCACGGUGUGCCAAUGAUAUUACGUAAACUCCAAAAUGUUCAUAUGUGACGGGUAAGAGUCAUCCCAGGGUAUAAAGUAGGUUGGAUCUCCCAACAAACCAAACCAAAAAGAAAACUUCUAGUAUAUUAUGUGCAAAUUAUGCUAUCAUGUCCAAUGAUAUGUUUGUCAUAUUAAUCACAACAUUAUAGUACCGUGGGUUGUUUUGCUGUAAUCGUAGUAGAUUACUAUAAUAAAAUUACAUAUUUGCUUUUGAGUAGGAAAGAAAGAAAGUCCUGAGGGUGGGGUGUUUUGGUCUAUUUUAUUAACCCAUUCAUUAUUAAAAAAAUUAUUAAGGGUGUAGAAUUUAUUUUUUUGUACGAUAAAAAGAUUAUUUUACUUUCAAAGUCAACAAAACUUAAAGUGGUUGAAUAAUUUUUUUUUUUUUUACUUUUUAUAAAAUUUGAGAUAGUAAUAUUUUUUUUUAUCUAGGAUUAAAAAUUUUUUGGGCUAUUAGGCAAUGGUUUUUUUUCCCCUGUAUUUUUGGCCCUAGAUAAAACAGAAAACAAAAAAUCGGGUUUAUAUUUAGGGGUAUUUUUAUACUUUCACACGGGCUUUUAGAUAAUUAACAAAGUCAUAAGAGUUUUUUUAAUAUUUUUAAGUUGAGUUUUUAAUUUUUUAAUCAGAAAAGUUGUUGGUGUGUGGUAAACACACCGACAAGUAGAUGACGUCUGAGUCAUUCUAAUGUGAUCUAGUUGUCCCAUUUAAAACUUGAUUUGACUCCAAAAAAAACUUUAAGUUGUCAUUAUUUUAACCUUUGCGCAAUCCAAUCAAGUUCAAAUAAGGAAUAAUGGAUUGUGAUAUGAGGAAAUCGUGGUGAAACAAAAAGAUAAAACCAUAUUGGAUCAAACUCAAUCAAUCUAGGUAACACCUACCACAUGCGUUGGCAUGAUCAUGACAUGAUCACAAUAAGCUUAUAUGGUUUGGUUAUUUGUUUCUUUUAUUUUCCUUCCUUUAUUUUCUUCUAGGUUGGGUUUUUAUUGGGCUUUGGUAUGAUAAGACUUGGGAUCAAUUGAAGAGUUAUAAAAGACUUAGGAACCAAAUAAAAAAUAUUAAAAGAGUUAUAAAAGAAUCAAAGGUGAAAUAAAAAAUAUAUAAUAAGAGACUAAAUAAAAAUAAAAAAAGGUGCGUGCAAUGCACACAUCAAUAUGGAAAAAAGCUUGUCGUGUUUAAACAACGUGUGUAACUUUCUUUAAGUUAUGAUGAAGGAUGCCCUUUGUUGGAAUUGCCUCGGCGGCAUCUCUCUUCCAUGGCAUCAAUAGUGUAGUCAUGAUGGGGCGCUAACAACCUUUUUUUCUUGUAUUUUUUUUCUCCUCUAUUCCUUUUUUUCUCAUCCCCUUAAUUCUUGGGCAUGACCUGGAGAAGAAAAAAAAAAUAAUCACAAUUUUAAUCUACAAUAACUUAUUUAACUUCUUAGAAAAAAGCAUAAUCAUGCUUUCAAUGUCAAACCAUGUCAUCAUUAGGGGGAAAAAAUGAAAAUAUCGUGUAACUUAUAAAUCGCUCUUCAUGCUGAGAUUCUAAUUACCAUUUAUUUAUUUAUUUUAUCUACUCCAAUCAACAAUUUUCUUACUCUCAUGAAUUAUUAAUUUAAUGACUACAGCCGUAAAGAAUCCAAACAAAGGAAUAUUAGUUCCAAACACUAGUAAACAAGAUAUGGAGAUGGCCAUUCACACAAGUGCGUUUGGUAUUGUGGUGACUGUUGUGGUUGUGAUAUGAAAAAAGUACUUUCAUAAAAAAGUGCUUUUAGUUGAGGUUUGUCUGUAAAAAUAUAUGUUUGGUUAAAACUGUGAUUGAAAUUAAGGUUGAAGAAAAAAUUGUUUAAUGUGUUUGGUUCAAAAUUGUGGUUCAAUUUUUUUUAUUGUAUAAUUACCUAAAAGGACUUAAUUCAUAAUACUAAUGAACAAUCUCAUAAAAUUAACAUUACAACUAAUAAAUUUUUGCAAAUAGACCUAAACAUAUUAGAAUAAUAAUUUAUAAUUGUUUCAUUAAACUUGCAGCAAUCCCAUCACGUACGUAAUCCAUUCGCGAAGGCCUUUGGUGUCCUUGACUUUGUAAACGUGAAGCCACAUCAGUUAGAAAAUCAUCAGGCACAAAAUCAGGAUGGCGAUCAAACUCCAUGAAUGCCACAUCUUGCAUUGAAGUUCUUCUAAUGUAAUUAUGAAUUGCCAUGGAUGCGACAACAAUUUCAACUUGUGUCUUGUAAUUAAAGGAUGACAUAUUCUGUAGAAUUCGCCAUCUUUUUUUUCCAAACUCCAAAUGUUCGUUCUAUCACACAACGUAAUGAAGAGUGCAUACGGUUGAAAAUUUCUUCACGAGUUUGUGGUUGUCCUCGCCUCCUAAAUUCUUGCAAAUGAUAUCUCUGACCUCUAUAUGGACCUAAAAAUCCAUAUUCAUUAGGAUAUCCUGAAUCAACCAAGUAGUUUUUCACUGAUAAAACAUAUAAUUGUUUUAAAUUGAAAAUUAAAAAAACAAAAAAAAAAAACAAAAUUACAUUACUAAUCAUAUAUACAGACACACACAAACACGUAUUACUACCUUCUGGUGGCUUAGGAAAUUUUAUACGUGGAUUGUCAAUUGCCUCGAGAAAAAUUCGUGUAUCAUGUGCACUACCUUCCCAACCCUCCCAAACAAAUAUGAAUUGCAUGUCAAAGCUACAUGCAGCCAUAACAUUCUGGGUUGGCACACCUUUUCGACUGAUAAAUGGAAUUUGAUUUUCAAAAGAAACACAUGCACGUACAUGUGUAUCGUCGAUAGCUCCUACACAAUUCUAAUAUAUGAUAAACCAGCAAAAUAACAUCAAUUUCAGCUGACAAAAAAAUUAAAUUUCACAAAUUCAUGAAAUACGAAUCACCAUUAACAAAUACGAUUAACGACAUCACCUUGAAAUGUGGCAUGUACCUCGGAUUGUUCACAAUUUCCCUCGGUGUGUUUACGAACCCGGGAUCUGCAGGUUGAAUUAAAUCUGUAGCAAGCGAACAAACUGAUCUAAGAACUUCAUUAAAGUACCUACUAAUUGUUUCUCCUGAAUGUUGGAAUCUCUCUUGAACUUCCCUAUUGGAAGCAACUAAAGCUAUUGUAUAAAGAAAUAUUCCAACUUUUUCAAAAACACACAUUCUUCUAGAUGCCGUUAACCCGUAUUAGUUUUCAAGUUUAAAGCACAUACUCUGAAAUGUCGGCGCAUCCAUCCUAAACAUAAACACACAACGCGUCUAAUGUCCAUGUAGAAUUUCUGUCAACCAUUGCAUUCUAGUGUUGUAUGAAUCCAUACAAGGCUCCUUAUAUAUAUAAGUAUUAUAAUAUAAAGCUAUGGCACCUGCCGUGCAUAAAAUCAAUUUCUGAUCAUCAAACCCCCUUUCCCAAAAUAGCUCACCUUCUUCAUCUGAAUCGUCAUCGUUGUUGUCGUCAGUAUCAGAACUGUUACUACCACUGCAAUCUCCAUCGUUUAUAGACAAAUUCCCAUAAUUAACGUAAUCGGCAACGUUAUUCAUUACAUCAUCAUAAUCCCCAUCAAAAAGUAUUGAAAACCAAUGCGAAUCCAUAUCUAUCAUGCCAUAAAAUUUUUGUGAAUAAUUGAAAAUUGUAUGACUUUUUUACAAAAAAACACAAAUGGAUAAUGCAAACCGAAAUAAGUGUUAUUGUUCAAUAUCUCCACGUUUUAUGAAAUUUUGCUCGGCAUGUAAAUUUUAUAACGCAAUAUUUAUUUGCAAUUUAGUCCUUUACCUCCUUUGAUAGUGAAAUUGAAUUUCUUUUUCCAAAAUGCCUAUUAUCUCUAAUAUAAAUUUAUAAUUCCACUUGCUAUAAACAACCUAAAAAAUAGAAGUUUAAGAGCUAACUUCAGUCCAAUUCCAGAAACAAUCAGCAGUUCACACACAUAUUGUUUUUACCAUACAACAUUCAAAAUUGCAUUUCCAAAACUGAUUUAUGCGUGUGCAGCUAGAUGGAAACUAACUGACUUUGGAAAAACCAUAAACAUCAAGAGAUCAAAAAAGUCCAAUUCCCUAAACAGCCAUGAACAACUCACACACAAAUUUUUUGAACCAUAUAGCAUUGAAAAUUUCAUUCCCAUAACUGAUUUCUGCGUGUGGAGCUAAAUGAAAACUAACCUGACUUUGGAAAACCCAUAAACAUCAAGAGAUUAAAAAAUUUCAUUCCCAAAAUUUCAUUCCAAAAUUGACAAUUUUCUACCCUUCACUAUCCCAAUGAACUCCAUAAACAAACAUUUGAAAACCUAAGAAACUAACCUGUUAUAGAUGGAACUAAAUGGAAUUAGAUGGAACUUACCUAUUACUGAUGUAUAAAUAGCAACAAUCAGUAACACCAGCAAUUACAAACAACCACUCUUGAUUCAAAUGUACUAACACAUUCGGUUUCUACCAAGAAAUUAUCAAUAUCCAAGUGAAUAACUUCCAAUACUACUGCAAUUUAUAUACAAAUACAUAAGAAUUGAUGUAAUAUUCCAAAAACUGUUACCUAACUUUCAAAAGCUACCAUUCAAGAACAAGUUACUAAACAUUCAAAUGUGGCAUACACCAACUGAAAAUUUCGAAAUUAGCAACCUAAACCUUCCAUUCCAGAGCAACUAACCAAACAUUCAAAGUAUGAUACCAACAAGCAAUAGUCUCAGUUUCAUAAAAUAUUAUCACCAACCAUUCAACUUCAAGUAACCAAACUGAAAAGGAGUACUUUAACAAGCUAAACAUAACAUUCAAAGUUAAGCAUCCACAUAUUUAAGGUAACAUUGAAAGUUAAGCAUCCACAUAUUUAAGGUCUACAAUUUAGAAAUUAACAUCCAUGAAAUUGCAACCCAACAACACUAUUCAGUCAUACAUAUAUAGCAAAACAUACAUGGUUGUGGUGUUCCAAAAACUUAGCUACAUAAAUACACCAAAUCAUGGGCAACUCCUUCUAAUUCCAACAACAAUUGCAGCACAGAAAGUCUGCAAAACCAGUUGAAAAUAUUUCAUACAAAUUAAUAUAUUACUUAUCUACAGAAUUCAACAUAAAUGCAAAGACAAGAAUAGGGUUAAAAGCUAAAAACUGACCUUGUCCAUUUAAGUUUGUCUGUGUUGGUCAAACAUAAUUUGCAGCCAUGACAUUUUUCUGUCAAUACAACCUAUUGCAGCCCACAUCUCCCUCUUGCUCCUCGCACAAAAGAAUUUAGUUGCAAAGGUAUGCAAUGCACUACCAAAUGCAACUCCAUCAAUAGAGUGCAGUUCUUGCAUUACCUCUUCAAUGCUACAACCUUUUUUUUAUCUCUACAAGGAGCUGUGAUCCCUCUAGGCAUGGAGACAGUCUCAACAAGUUUAUCCAGACGUGCAACUAGUACUGCUCCCAUUCCAGUUCCCCUUUUCUUUUUUCACAAUUGAGGUGUAGGCUGAUGUGCACCUUCUCUUUGAACUGCUGGGGUUGCUGCUACUGUUGGCGACAUUGCUUCCACCAACCAUAUUGCUAACAUCAUGUGUGAAAUCAUGGAUUGCAUCCUCUUCAGAGUUGCCACUUCCUUCUUCCAUAUUAGUAUCCUCAUUGGUUGUAUUCCUCAUUCCAGCAGCCAUAUUAUCUUCAUCUGAUAAGAGUCCUUAUGAGGGAGUCCAAGCAUAUUCUCCCGUGGCCACUAUGUUAGUAAACAUGAUAUCGUACUUGGCACACAACGAGGGCUCUAUGUCGACAUGUCUAAACUUCUUUGCUCCUCUCAUUUCCUGUGCAAUGACAGCUAGAUGUAAUUAGGAAUGAUACUAGGUGAAUAAAUAAUACAACAUGAAAAAAAAAAUUAUGAGGCUAUUGCAAAUCAGCAAACUAACCUGAAUUUUUGAUUGCCACCAUUCAUCAGUUGCUGAGAUGGUCCCAAGUUCAGUAGACCAACCAACUCCAGUUUUAGCUAUUAAUUUCUUCUAUACCCUCCAAUCCUUUUUAAUCCCAUCCCAUUUAUUUUUAAGCUGAGAUUUUGAUAAUGAAAGGCCUGUCUGAUCUUUGAAUGACUGUACGAAAAAUUUCCAGCCAGCUUUGUCAAAAUAUGUGUUUGGUCUCAUGCCUCUCUUAAUAGCUGUAAUGCAAAUGUCGCAAAACGUGUGCAACAUUGCCUUGCUCCAAGAAGCUUUGUCAUGUGUGUCAAACCCAUCCAUUGCUUAUGGUUGACAAUGCAAUGAAAAAAUAAACAAUCAAUUAACCAAAUGAACAAGAGAUUGAAUGCUAAUAAGGCCAUAAUACAAUAGUAAUAGAACAGGAAAUUACAUGUGCAGCAAAAGGUCAACCAAAGAAUAACAAAAGGUUGAAUGUUGACAAGGAAUGAAAACAUAAAUAAAGAAAUUAUGUAUAGAAGAAUGGUUGACAAUGCAAGAUAGAAUUCAAAACACAAUUCAAUAUAGAUGAAUAAAGGUUUAAUGCUGAUAAGGGAUGAAAAAAAGAAACUAAGGAACUAGUUAAAAAAAAAUUGCAUGUUGUGAAGUGUGAACUAAGGAACUUAAUAGAAGGAUUGUCAUCAACCUAAAAACCUAGCCACUAUGCCAUAAUCCUAUAACUGUUUAUCAUCAAUUAGCAGGGGAUAUUCUAAUUAGCAACUGAAAUAAUUUGUUUAAGUUAUUAUGUUUAUAGUUGUUAGCAAUCAACAACAAACAAUAGAAUUAUGUAUAACAGAAUGGUUGACAAUGCAAGAUAGAGUUGAGAAUAAUGGAAUGUGUUGGGUUGUUCCUUAGCCAACCUUCCUAUUUAUAUAGAGGCAGCAGAUCAUUGCAGUAACUGUAAUGAUUACAACAUCCUAUAUUAGAAUCCUAUUAUGAUAGAUACAUGAGUAACUAUAAUGAUUACAACAUCUUAUAUUAGAAUCCUAUUCUGAUAGAUACAUGAGUAACUGUAAUGAUUACAACAUCCUAUAUUAGAAUCCUAUUCUAUAAUAUGCCCCAUCAAGCUGAGGGUGGGGGAUCAACCCGAAGCUUGAAUCGAAAAGCAGUAAAGGAUGCAACAUGAAGCGGUUUAGUGAAUACAUCGGCAAGUUGAUCCCGAGAGGGAACAAAAUGAAUCUGAAUUUCUUUCUUGGCAACACGGUCACGGACAAAGUGAUAAUCCACUUCAACAUGCUUAGUACAAGCAUGGAAGAUAGGAUUUGCUGAGAGAUAGGAAGCACCAAGAUUAUCACACCAAAUGGUAGGGGCAGAGACUGAGGGAACCUGCAAAUCUGUUAACAAGUAUUGAAGCCAAAUGACUUCAGCGGUACCAUCAACAAGGGCUUUAUACUCAGCCUCAGUAGAGGAGCGAGCAACAGUGUGUUGCUUGCUGGAUUUCCAAGAAAUCGGCGUCUGACCAAAAAAGACAAGAUAGCCGCCCGUAGACUUGCGAUCAUCAAUACUACCAGCCCAAUCUGCAUCUGUAAAGCCAUGUAGAGCAAAAGAGAAGCCUCGAGUGAUAUGGAAACCAUAAGAUGUCGUACCUUUAAGAUAACGUAAAAUACGUUUGACAGCUGCCCAAUGAGAAUCUGUAGGAGCAUGCAUAAACUGACAGACUCUGUUAACAGCAAAGCAUAUAUCUGGACGGGUGAAGGUAAGAUAUUGAAGAGCACCCACAAUUUGACGAAAUCGUGUAGGAUCAUAGAAUGAAUGAUCUGGUAAUAAAAUGACUUUCGAAGGGGAGACUGGAGUAUCAACUGGUUUGCAGGAAGUCAUACCAGCUCAAGUGAGGAUGUUAAGAAUAUAUUUAUGUUGACGCAACAUUAAACCCAUACUGGUAGACUGAACUUCAAUACCCAGAAAGUAGUGAACAACACCUAAGUCACGAAGCUUGAACUCAGAGCUGAGUAACUAUAUAAGGUGAUGGAGCAUAGCAGAGUUGCUACCCGUGAGCAGAAUAUCAUCAACAUACACUAGGAGAUAAAAGAUAUUAGUACCAUCAGAUAAGAUAAACAGGGAGGUGUCAACCUUGGAAGCUCGGAAACUGAUAGAGAGCAAAAAAUCACUUAGACGAGUGUACCAUGCUCUCGGUGCCUGUUUCAAACCAUACAAUGAUUUGUGCAAUCUGCACACAUGAGAUGGAAGAGUAGAGUCAACGAAACCUGGAGGCUGUUUCAUGUAGACCUCUUCAGUAAGAACACCAUUGAGGAAGGCAUUAUGAAUAUCAAGCUGAUGAAUCUUCCAAUUUUCCAAACCGCGAUAAAGAAAACCAAUCGUACAGUGGCCUGCUUAAUAACUGGACUGAAGGUUUCAGAAUAAUCAAUACCUUCCUGCUGGGUAAAACCUCUAGCAACAAGGCACGCUUUAUAGUGCUCAAUACUACCAUCAACACGACGUUUGAUCCGAUAUACCCAUCUACUGCCAACAACGUUCAUCGAAGGAUGAAAUGGAACCAAAGACCAAGUGCGAUUUUCGCGUAAAGCGGCGAUCUCAUCACACAUAGCAUUAUGCCAAACUGCAUACCGGUCAGCAUCAGAGAAUGCAAAAGGCUCAGAAGAGGGAGAAUACAGUACCCGUGUGGAGGUAGAAGUAGCGGCAGCAGAAGCAACCAGAUUAGCUGUCUUCGGCUGCCGCGGUCUAAGAGUCAUAGGAUGUCUGCUGUGUGCUGGUGGAGACACAGGGGAAGACGGUUGUAGCGAGGAGACCUGUGGCAGCUGAUAAGAAGACAAAUCAACCAUAAGUUGCAGACCAACGGGAGAGGAUGAUAAAGAAGCAGCCUCAAGCACAGGACUGUCAGCAGAGGAGGGGCUGGAAGUAGAGACUGAAGCUGCAGGAGUGCUGGCCAGGGAGGGCGAAGCAGAGGAGGGACUAGAAAGUGCCCCAAGACCAUGAGGAGAGGAGACCAAUUGACGAUCUGAACCUGCAUUAUAAGGGUUAGAUAAACAAGCAUGGGAUGAUGGCCAAGGGAUGGGCGGAGGCUGUGGUCGGUGGCUGUUUGGAGUGGCAAAGCGGAGUGUUGUGGGCUGUUUGGGUGGCUAGUGAAAGUGGGUGGCGGUGGGUGGUUUAGCAAAUUUGGAGGGUGACAGUAGGGGUGGGGUGGGGGUUGUGGUGGAGACCUUUGCAAUCUGUUCAGAAUUAUCAAAUGGAAACACAUGUUCAUGGAAGCGGACAUGACGGAAAUAUAAAUACGGUGAGAUGCAAUGUCAAGACAUCGAUAACCAAGAUGCGAGGAACUAUAUCCAAAAAACACACAUGGAGAGGAACGAAAAUCCAAUUUAUGAUUAUUAUAUGGACGCAGAAAAGGAAAACAGAGACACCCAAAGGUACGCAAAAAAUGAUAAUCAGGAGACCGUUGAAAUAAACAAUCAAACGGAGAGCGAUGGGCAAGAAUAGGAGUAGGCAUGCGAUUUAUAAGAUAAACAGAGGUUUCAAAAGCAUAAUUCCAGAAUCGAAAAGGUGCUUUACAUUGCCCUAAAAGAGUAAGACCUGUUUCCACAAUAUGCCUAUGACGACGCUCUACUGUUCCAUUUUGUUCAUGAGUGUGGGGACAAAUCAGACGAUGAUGAAUACCAAUGGUCUGAAAAAAUGUGGAUAGUUUUCGGUAUUCACCGCCCCAAUCAGUUUGAACAGAUUUUAUUUUUAAUGAAAAUUGACGUUCGACAAGAGUCUGAAAUUGAUGAAAAACAGAGUAAACAUCAGACUUGGCAACGAGAGGAUAAUACCAUACAUAUUUAGUAUAAGCAUCAACAAAGAUAACAAAAUAACGAUAGCCAUCUGAAGAAAAAAGAGGAGCAGGGCCCCAUACAUCACUAAAAAUUAAUUCAAGUGGAGCAGAAGUUUUGUGACCCGUAGGUCCUAAAGACAAACGCGAUGAUUUUCCUAAAGGACAACUUUGACAUUGAAAAUUAAGACGUUUGUUGUUACAAAUGAUCUUAUUUUUCGAGAUUAACAAUUGAAAAAUACGUGAAGUAGGAUGACCUAGUCGACGAUGCCAUAAAUCGGCAGAGGCAGAAGUGCAGGGAGACCAAUAGGCUUGAGGAACUGACGUGACGGAAGACUUGGUCAGGGCAUAGAGACCAUCUUUACUCUGACCUGAGAGAAGGACUUCAUGGGUGUUGAAAUCCUUGACAUAAAACACACGAGGGUGAAAUUCAAAAUAAACAUUAUUAUCAAGACAAAAUUUCUGAACAGAGAGCAGAGGUUUUGUGAUUGCAGGAACAUGAAGAACAUUAGAUAAGGUGAAAGAACGAUGUGGUGUAUAUAUUUUUGUAUGACCAAGAUGAGAUAUAGGAAGGCCCUUACCAUCACCAACAUGCAAAUUAUCAUUACCAAGAUACGGUUCUGAAGCGGUCAAGGUGGCAAGAUCAGGUGUGACGUGUUGAUUGGCACCGGUAUCUGGAAACCAAUCAACAGAACCGGUUGAGGAGAGAUUGCGCUGCACCAGGUUGGCAGUAGGUUGUUGGCCAUAACCUCGCUGCUGGAAUUGAGGGCAAUGGGAGCUGUAUGGCCGAAAUUCUGACACAGUUGGCAGCGUGGAUUCUGCCCCCUAUUGCGCUGCCAAGAGCCCUGCCUAUUGUCACCGAAGGAGGAGUUUUGGAAGCUGCGGUGAUCAGGUCUGGAGCCAGCAAAUCGGUUGCCUCUGCUGUUGGACUGGUUGGGACGCCAGCCACCGUUGAAGCGGCCCCUGCUGCGGCCAGAAUUGCCAAAAGUCUGGCGCUGCGCAACAAGAGCAGAAGAUGGAAUGCUGGGUGUGGGCAGCAGAGGAGCAUGUAUGGCAGCAGAAGAUUUGUGAAGAAAUUCAUGUGUGAGGAGAUGGCUGUGAAGAUCUGCAUAUGAUAAAGGUUCAGCCUUGGUAAUAAGACUGGUAACUAAGUCUUUAAACUCUCCCCGAAGACCACGAAACACAUAUAAAUUGAAAUCUUCAAGCGAAACUGGCCGACCAGCAGCGGCCAAUUCAUCAAAUAAGGCCUUCGCUUUUUGCAUAAAUUGAGUUACUGAUUCAUCACCCUGUCGAAGAUCCUGAAGAGAGCCGUGAAGUUGCAUAAUACGAGAGUUGGAGGUGGAAGCGAGAGCUCGCUCAAGAGUGCCCCAAGCUGAACAAGAACUUUGACAGCCAACAACAAGAUGCAAAACUUCCAUAGAUAGGGAGGAAAGAAGAGCACUUAGAAUGAGUUGGUCCUGUUGUUUCCAGGUUUGAAAAAGCGGAUUUACCUGAAGAGAGAUACCAUCAUGGGCAAGAACAUGUGUUGAUGGACAUGUGUUGGAGCCAUCAACAAAACCAAAAACUCCUUGGCCUAGGAGAUAAGGCAGCAUCUGCAUACGCCAAUAUAAAUAAUUGGUGUUUGUUAAUUUGAGGGAGAUGACUUGAUGAGUGUGAGAAAGGGAGAUAAUGCUUGCGGCAGUAGAGGCAGCAGACGUGGGCUGCUAGAGGAGGCGUUCACCAGCCAUGGCAGAGGAGAAUCCAGGCGGUGACGCAGCAGAGGAGGCGCUGCAAGAGAAGAGGGCUGCACUGUCGGAGAAGAAGAAAGCUGGACUACUAGUGCUGCAGAAUUUGAAGAUGUAUGUGGCGGCUGUUCCAUUGAAGAAGGGAGGCUGUGAGAAAAGUAGGUUUAAUUUAUUUUAGGGUUUUGUGGCUCUGAUACCAAGUUGAGAAUAAUGGAAUGUGUUGGGUUGUGCCUUAGCCAACCUUCCUAUUUAUAUAGAGGCAGCAGAACACUGCAGUAACUGUAAUGAUUAUAAUAUCCUAUAUUAGAAUCCUAUUCUGAUAGAUACAUGAGUAACUAUAAUGAUUACAACAUCCCAUAUUAGAAUCUUAUUCUAUAAUAAAUAGAAUUUAAAACACAAUUCAAUAUAGAUGAAUAAAGCUUUAAUGCUGAUAAGGGAUGAAAAAUAAUUGCAUGUUGUGAAGUGUGAACUAAGAAACUUAACAAAAGGUUUGUCAUCAAUUAGGAGGGGAUGUUCUAUAUAUAUAUAUAACUAUUAUUUUAAUGUACAUUUAAUAACUUUUUAUAUUUAUAUAUAUAUUAUUUUAAAUGUUUUAAUCUUAAAUGUUUAUUAUAUAUAUAGUUAUAUAUAGAGUAUAUAUAUUAUUUUAUAUAUAAGAGCAUGGAAAUACCAAGAUCGUCGUAAUGAGCAUUGAAGAUGUGGUUGACGAAUGUACAAUGUUCUACUUUGCUGGACAAGAAACAACCUCAGUUCUUCUUACCUGGACCAUGGUUUUAUUGGCUCAGUAUCCGAAUUGGCAAGCACGCGCAAGAGAAGAGGUUGUGCAAGUCUUCGGUAACAAAAAACCAGAUUUUGAUGGGAUAAAUCACCUUAAAGUUGUGAGUAUUUCUCUGCAUUUGCAACUGAAUUCUUGUACAUCAAUAUUGUUUUAUUAUUGUUAAGAACACAGAGCAUUCUUGCAUUUAAAAUGCAAGCGUAGGUAUUCUUUGAAGAAAAAAUAAGAGAGCAGAAAUAAAAAACGUUCAUGUUUUCAUUCGUUGAAUUAUUAAUCGGCCAAAAUGACGAGGAAAAGCAACCAACAGAUGAGUACGCAAGCAAGCUAGGAGGUGACAUCUAUAUACAUUAAGAAUGAGAUUUACUAGUUCUUGGGUCAACAUAAAAAUUCUCAAAUUAGUAAGUUGAAAUGGCAUGCAAAUGAUCUCUAUAUAUGCGAUAUUCUAUUUUAUCAAAGUGGAUCGCAUGUCACCUUUUUAAUGGAUUCUUACCAUGUAGUAUCAUUUUCUCUUUUGAUGCAUGUUACAGGUUACCAUGAUUUUGUAUGAAGUUCUUAGGUUAUACCCGCCGGUAAUUAUGCUUAAUCGAGAUGUUCAUGAAGAAAUAAAGCUCGGAAAUUUGCUAUUACCUGCCGGAGUGCAGGUCUCGGUGCCAACAAUCCUCCUUCACCAAGAUCAUGAACUAUGGGGUGAUGAUGCCUCUGAGUUCAAACCAGAGAGGUUUGCUGAAGGUGUUUCAAAGGCUACAAAGAGUCAAGUCUCAUUCCUUCCAUUUGGAUGGGGUCCUCGGAUAUGCGUUGGACAGAACUUUGCUUUGAUUGAAGCAAAAAUGGCUUUGGCAAUGGUUUUACAGCGUUGCUCUUUUGAGCUCUCUCCGUCGUAUAUUCAUGCUCCUCGCACAGUCAUAACUCUUCAGCCACAGCACGGUGCUCCAAUGAUAUUACGUAAACUCUAAAAUGUUCAUAUGUGACGGGUAAGAGUUAUCCCAGGGUAUAAAGUAGGUUGGAUCUCCCAACAAACCAAACCAAAAACAAAGCCUCUAGUGUAUAAUAUUAUGUGCAAAUUAUGCUAUCAUGUCCAAUGACAUAUUUGUCAUAUUAAUCAUAACAUUAUAGUACCGUGGGUUGUUUUGCUGUAAUCAUAGUAGAUUACUAUAAUAAAAUUACAUAUUUGCUUUUGAGUGGGAAAAAAAAAAGUCUUGAGGGUGGGGUGUUUUGAUCUUUUCUAUUAGCCCAUUCAUCAUUAAAAAAAUUAUUUAGGGUGUGGAAUUUAAUUUUUUACAUGAUUAAAAGAUUAUUUUACUUUCGGAGUCAACAAAACUUAAAACGUUUGACUAACGAUUUUUUUUUAUUUUUAUCCUGGUAUUAAAAAAUUGUUGGGCUAUUUUACAAUGAUUUUUUUGUUUUUUCCAUUAUUAAUAUGUAGUAAAGGUAUAUUUUUGGCCCUAGAUAAGAGAAAAAAUCAGGUUUGUAUUUAGGGGUAUUUUUAUAAUUUUGCACGGGUUUUUAGGUAAUUACCGAGGUCAUAAGAGUUUUUUGUAUUUUUAAGUUGAGUUUUUAAUUUUUUUAAUCAGAAACGUUUUUGGUGUGUCGUAAGCACGCCGACAAGUAGAUGACGUAUGCGUCAUUCAAAUGUGAUCUAGUUGCCCAUUUAAAAUUUGAUCUGACUCCAAAAAAAACUUUAAGUCGUCAUCGUUUUAACCUUUGCGCAAUCCAAUCAGGUUUUUAAAUAAGAAACAAUGGAUUGUCAUAUGAGAAAAUCAUUUAUUUUUUAAGAUUUAUGGGGCGAAAUGAAAAGAUAACACUAUAUUAGAUCAACCUCGGUCAAUCUAGGUAACACCUACCGUAUGGGUUGGUAGGGUCAUGACAUGACCACAAUAAGCUAAUAUGGUUUUGGUUAUUUGUCUCUUUCAUUUCCCUUCCUUUAUUUUCUUCCAGGUUGGGCCUUUAUUGCCUUGGGUGUGAUGAAAUUUGGGAAUAAUUGAAGAGUUAUAAAAGACUUAGGAACCAAAUCAAAAAUAUUAAAAGAGUUAUAAGAGAAUCAAGUAUCAAAUAAAAAAAAAAUGAUAUGACACCAAAUAAAAAUAAAAGAAGGUGGUGGGGACACAUAACCCGAAGUAUUAUUUAUGCACACGUAUAAUCAUAGACGAUGGAGGAUAGCCCAAACAAUUGAGAGAUUGGGUUUUAACUUAUGUUUUUUGGUUUAAUUUAUAUGAACUUGGUUUAUUAAUUUGGCUUUAUUUGUUGGGUAUUUUAUUUAGUGGGCCAUAAGCCCAAUCGUUUGUUCUAGUUAGGGUUUUAGUAUUUAUACCCUAUUUUUCUAAAUAUUAAGCAUUUUUGAUGAUUAUUGAAAAAUUUGCAGACUUUACAUAUCUUCAAUCCCCAUUCUUUUCGUUCUUUGCUUUCACUUCUCAACUUCUUCUCUAAAAGCUUCUUUAUUUUCUUGCUUUAAUUCUUAUUAUUUAUUGUCCUGCAUCAAAUUUAAUAUCAGAGCAAGAGUUUUAAUUGUUCUUACAAUUAAACGAUCCACAAUGUUUAUGCUAAACCCCAGUUCUGGUUUGAUCUAAACAAAAUGGUCAUUGUUUACUGUUAAAAAAAACUAACUGUUCUGAUUAUAUAAAAAAAAAACAAUAACAACUGGAUCUACAUUGUUCAUUGUCUCCACCAGUAAACCACCGCCGCAGAGCACAACGCCAUCACCAGAGGGCAGGUCAGGCUUUCCCAACAACAACCACCAAAACCCACCCGCUCUCCACACCACCUGCAGUAACGCCUAUUUACUACUUCCAAAACUCCCGCUGCACCUUACCAUCCACCAGCAACAACAUAUCAGUGGGUUACAAUAAUUGUAGCCCACGCCACCGUCACCAACCAACCUAGACAACAACCCGCAGCCAUAACAGGUCGCCCACACCAGCAGCAGUAGAUCAUCAACCAGCUCAUCCUCUCCCUGCCAUCGGCGGGUUGGACAUCCAGCAUUUUUAAUUGUUAAUUUUUGUUCAUCAACCUCUUUCAUCAGUGAUAACUAAUAUCUUAUUCUAUUUUGAUAAUUAUGAGUUCUUGCUUCUGACAUUGUGUUUGAUUAAUUAUUUACACUUAAAAAUCUAGUAUUAUAGCUUACAAUUUUAUUAGUGUAAUUUGUUCUUGAUUAAUCUCCACAUUUAAGAGAAAAAAAAGAUUAAAAAAAAAUCAGCUUUAUUUUGGUAUUGUGAUUUUACAUGCAAGAAUCAUUUGUGAUCUCAAUUCCAUUUAUAAGUUAGUAUUGCAUGCAUUUAUGUCAUAAUCAUCUAAUGUCCAAGCUUAAUCUUACACUUACUAUAGACUUAACCUUUAGUGAUACUCUUACAACCAUUUAAAGGGAACUGCAAACUUAGGUGAUCAACAUGUUUAAAAGAAUCGAGCCCCAAGAGAGUUUUCGAAUAAGACACUUAAAGACCAAUAAAUAUCGCAAGAAUAAUCAUUAUGGACAAGUUCACUCUAAGUGCCACCAGUAUGACUAUCAUUUAGGUUACUGUAAACACGAUGACGUUGAUGAGCGAGUUUUGAGUUCUAACAAAAUAGAAGUUCCACUUUUGACGGUCGUCAUGAACCUUGGAUACUUGAUAUGUGGAUUCGUGAUAUGGAUAGAUUCUUUGAGUGGUAUAACUUGUCUGAUAAUAGGAAAGUUAGAUUUGCUAAGAUGAUGCUCAUUGGUGAAGCCAAAAUUUAUUGGAGAGAUGUUGAAGAUUGUUUAGAGAUGAGAGGUAAACCUCCUAUAACUGAUAAGAUUAAAAUGAAACAAAAACUUCAGGAGAAGUACUUACCCUAGUCUUAUAGGAAUAAAAUCUUAGACCAAUGGAACAAUCUAAGACAAGGGAAUAAGUCUAUCAAUGAGUAUAUAACGCAAUUUAACGAUUACAUGAUUAGAUGUGCCAUAAGAGAGAAUGAAGCCAUGACUUUGCAUAGAUUUUGUAAAGGCUUUGAUGCAAAUCUCAUGAUCACGUGGUCACGCAACUGACAAUCAAGAUUCAGAUCUGAUCCCAGAAAGCCAAAAUAGGUCUGAUAGGAGUGUGACACAAUGGAAACCUGCCUCAAGACACCAACACUAUUAGAAUGAGUAGAAUGACAUCACGAAGCCAGUUAAUCUUCGAUAAGUCAGAUUCAGUGCGUUCAAGAACUGAAGAAUGAAAGAAUCACUCUCACAUGUUAAAAUUGAAAAAUUCAGAAGUAAUAAUCAUCAAAGCUGCCAAAAGUUUAGCUUACAUGAGUUUAAACAGUUCCUGAAGAAUUACCCUAAUGGACCCCUUAUGUGGACUUAUAUGAGGUCCACUCAAAAUUGACCCAAAAUCUUAAACUGAAAAGCCCAUUACUUAAUCCAAACAAGCAUUCGAUCCUAGCUUAAAACAAAGUAUUAAUUAAGCCGAAACAAGCCUUGGACUGUAGCUAACAAAAUAAAAUAAAGCCCCUAACAUUAAAUCCAUGUUUUGCCAUGAGAAAAAGACAAUGAAAUAAAAAUAGUACAUAACUGAUUCAAGGCUUAUUUAAAGCCUUCCAUGCAGCCCCUUAAUCCUAGAAACAAAAGGAAAAGGUAGCCACCCAUGUUGUUUCCAAGUUGUAGUAGGAUUCUUUUGUUUCCUUUGUUGUCCUCACUUCAUGGCCUAAAUAAGGUUGUAUUGGACCCCUCUUGCACAUGGAUAAGAUGUACUAGGAUCUCCUCUUGAUACUCCAAUGGACCUUUCAAUUUUGACUUGGUGGAAACCUUCAAAACCAAUGUAUUCAAUGUGUCUUUCAAUGUCUUUGUCUUGGACCGAGUCAUUAGUCCAUUUGGAACAUGUAAUGGGUCCUUGCUGGUGUUUCUAGGCUGGUCCACAUCAUCACUAUUAGAAUGAGUAGAAUGACGCCACGAAGCUAGUUAAUCUUUGAUAAGUCAGAUUCAGUUUGUUCAAGAACUGAAGAAUGCAAAAAUCACUCUCACACAUUAAAACUGAAAAAUUCAGAAGUAAUAAUCAUCAAAGCUGCCAAAAUUUUAGCUUACAUGAGUUUAAAUAGUUCCUGAAGAAUCAACCCUAAUGGACCCUUUAUGUGGACUUAUAUGAGGUCCACUCAAAAUUAACCCAAAACCCUAAACUAAAAAGCCCAUAACUUAAUCCAAACAAGCAUUGGAUCCUAGCUUAAAACAAAGUAUUAAUUAAGCUGAAACAAGCCUUGGACUGUAACUAACAAAAUAAAAGAAAGCCCCUAAUAUUAAAUCCAUGUUCUGCCAUGAGAAGAAGAGAAUGAAAUAAAAAUAGUACAAAACUGAUUCAAAGCUUAUUUAAAGCCUUCCAUGCAUGCAGCCCCUUAAUCCUAGAAACAAAAGGAAAAGGUAGCCACCCAUGUUGUUUCCAAGUUGUAGUAGGAUUCGUUUGUUUCCUUUGUUAUCCUCACUUCAUGGGCCAAAUAAGGUUAUGUUGGACCCCUCUUGCACAUGGAUAAGAUGUACUAGGAUCUCCUCUUGAUACUCCAAUGGACCUUUCAAUUUUGACUUGGUGGAAACCUUCAAAACCAAUGUAUUCAAUGCGUCUUUCAAUGUCUUUGUCUUUGACCGAGUCAUGGUCCAUUUGGAACAUGUAAUGGGUCCUUGCUGGUGUUUCUGGGCUGGUCCACAUCAAGCUUAAAUGUUGAUCUUAGAAGAGAAGUUGUAUUUCAAGGUGUAUCUACCCUUAAUCAAGCUUAUACUUUAGUUCAAAACUACAAGUUGGUCAUGAAGAAUCGGUGGAUGAAUUGUUAGGACUCUUAUAGUAUCCCUACUAGGUCCCAAUUCAGAAGUAGUGAUUAUUUGUUAGGUGCUCCACCACACCGACCUAAUCCUAAUAGCGCCCAUUGUUGUAAGAAAGAUAAGGGCAAAUGAGUUGUCAAUGAAGUGUCUGAGGUGAGUUCACAGGUUAAGUGACACGACCAAAAGAUUGAUGUCUUCUCCCAAGUGUAGGAGUGUCGAAGUAAUAAAUAACCCGACAAGAUUGGGGUUAAACCAUAGAGAGGUUAAUUGUAUAAAUUAUAAAUAACAAUACAACAACAACAACAAUAACAACAAUAAUAACAAUAAUAGUAAUAGUAAUAAUAAUAUUAACAGUAAUAAUAAUAAUAAUAAUACUCAGUACGUGGCGUUGUUAUACUUGAGAAUUAUCUAAAAGAUCGGGUCACAGGUUUCCAGCCUAUAUACUGAGUUUACGAAAAGAUCAAAGAGAUAUAUUAUAUAAUAUAAACAGAUUUCUUAUGCGAAUGAACAAGGCAAGACCAACAAUGUCAGGAUUCUUGAUCAAACACAGAGCAUACUUAACGUACAUAAAAUAUAACAAGAAUGUAAAUAGUAGUAGUAGUAGUAGUAGUAAAAAAGAAGAGGAAGAAAUUAAUGAGAACUUUGAGAUGGAAGAUUAUUGUAAGAAUUAAACAAUGAUAAAAACACAUGUCAAGGUUAGAGGAUCCACUAAUGGUAUUUCAAACAAGUAUAGUAUAAACUCUUAUUACUCAAUUUGGAAACCACACACGAAGGAGGUUCCAAUCGGAUGAUUUGUCAUUAAUAGCUCAUUAUAAAUUGUUAACAUGACCAUAUUAAUUAUCUUAUUUACAUAACACCAAACUUUUAAAUAUUUUCAGGAAUUCAUGAUGCUUACUUAUGUUAACAACAAAUCAAGUUCCUUUUAUAGCACAGGUGUAGGUAAUACCAUACGAUUGGGCUAUGAGAGUGCCAAGCAUUUGUUGUACCAAGUGUUAUACAACACAAAUUUAGAUUAACCAUUUAACAAGCAAGGUAUUAAGAAUUAGUCAGAUAAAAAGAUAAGACAUGUUAAUAUUAAACAUUAAGGUCCAUGUUGAGUUUACACUAUACUUAUUCUUACACCAUUAAUGUAACCUUUUCACCUUGACAUAAUAAACUUAGCUAAACAUAAUGAAGAAGAGAAACAUAAAUAAACAAAACAAGAACAUAAAUAAGAUACAAGUUAACUAAGGAAAAGAAAGGAAAUGAAAAGCAUAAACAAGAUAUUAAUGAAAGUAAAACUUAAGAAUUACAAAAAAAAAUAUAAAUAGAGAAAUAAAGAGCAUGAUCUUGAUCUGAACAACCAAGCCCCUAAAUACAUGGCAAAUGCCUCCUUUUAUAGGCCAAAAUUCAGAAUUAUUGAUUUGAUGACUAAUUGUUGAGUGGGUGGCCAACUCUUGACUUUGUGAAAAUCCUUAUCUUCUUGUCUGAAUAAAACGAAAUUCCUAGCAUUAGAACUACGACCACUUGAAAACAUGAAAGUUGUAGGAAAUUGACUCAGCUUUCCAGGAAAAAACAAAUGGAGGUCAUUUGGACUUCUAGAACUCUAGAUAUAGGCCAAACACUGAACAGUGUUCGGGCUGCAGGACAGAUUCGGACUUCUCCGUUGUUGCUAUAAUUUGGACUUGCAAACGGCCUUAUUAGAUCUUGGUGUCCACAUGAAAGUUGCAGACCUAUGUCUUACUGAAUAUGUGUAAAAAUUUGAGAUCAUUUUGACAUCUAGAACUCCAGAUAUGACACAAUUACCGAAAAAUAUUCUAGUUUUGACUGCACCAACAUCUCUUUUCUAAGUUUGGCCCUCUCUUUGUCCUUUCAAUAUCCAUACUUGAACUCAUCAAUCAAUCCUUUGAUUUAUGUGAUAGGCCUACAUUUAAGAUGAACAUUUACCAUAUAUAUUAAGGUAUUUUAUAGUAUUAGACUGGUUAUUAUAAAACAUGAUUUAGUUAAGGAGUUAUUAAUACUUUAAGUGCAAAAUGAUGAUACAAAACCUUGAUAAAUAUGCACUUUUAAGUACUAAUCAUUAAGUGUACGAAUUGUUUAGGUUUUGGUCAUAUCUCUUUAAAUUGCACCUCUAAACCCUUAGUCAUCCAAAAACAUAAGUAUAUAGGUAAAGAGGAAUAUUGUAGUGUUGAAGUGUAUGGGCCUCAUCUUGAGGAUUUUAGUGACCUAGAUGAUGCGGAUGUGCAAGAAGAGGAACCUAACACAAUGAGUCCAUGUGAGCUUGAGAAUGAGGUUAAGAAGGAGUCUGAUAUGUCUGCUUUAAUUGUAGAGGAAGUUUUAGGGAACUCUUCAGUGGAAUCACCUAUAGAGAUAAGUAUGGUCUUAGAAGAGUCUCAUGAUAUUAAUCUUCCUAAAUUACCUGAUUCCUCACCCCACAUGCUUGGUGUCCAGCACAUCAUAAGUUUAGAGCAACAUGUUGAGGUUCUUGACCCCUUCCCUCGUGCACGUGAUGAGGAAGAUGAAGAUAGUCCUAGUUUACUUUAUUGUGUCCAUACCAUAUAUACACAGGUUUCAAACAAUGUUUGUCUCAUUCCACAUCCUCAAUCAUUUAGUGUUCAUAGUUACAAACCUGAGAAGCCUAUAGAACACCUUCUCAUAUCUCCUCAUGAUAGGAUGUCUAAGUUAGCUGAGUCGUUACCAUGUAGAGUUCAUAAUUUGCAUAUUGAGAUCAUGAAACAAAUUCAAGCAAGUAACGAAUAAUACAAAUUUUGAGCUGAUUUACUUAAGUAUCAUGAUGCACUUAAUGUUGGAGAUUAUUUCAUGAUACAGAUUAGACCUCAAUGAUGUUCUUUGAAAACCGAUCAUAAAUUGCAAGUAAGUGGUGCUAGACCAUUCAAAGUGUUGCAAAUGAUUGAAUCAAAUAAUUAUGUCAUUAAAUUGCUAUUAAACUUUGAUAUUAACUCUACUUUUACAUUAAAAACCUUAGUAUUUAUAAAAUACAACCUAUCCCUGAUGCUUCUUUUGAUACCCCUACCUCAGUAUUCGUAUCUUUGGCACAAAAGGAACAUAUUAAUGCUACUUUGAAUGCACAAGUUGUUUUUAUCAGGGAUGGUGAACUUCAGCAAAUUCUAGUAUAUGGGCUUGACGACCAGAUUCAGACUAUACUUGGAUUAUUAGAGAGACAUCACAACAACUUGAUUCUUAUCUUUGAGAGCAUUAUCGGAGUCUCCUUGACCUAUACUCGACGGGGUCGAGUUCUUCCAACCCCAGGAGAAUUGGUGGGGACACCGAACCCGAAAUAUUAUUUAUGUACGCGUAUGAUCAUAGACGAUGAAUGAUAGCCCAAACAAUUCAGAUAUUGGGCCUUAACUUAUGUUUUUGGGUUUAAUUUAUAUGAACUUUUAGUUGAGGUUUAUUAAUUUGGCUUUAUUUUUUUGGGUUUGAUUUAAUUAUUGUUGGGUAUUUUCUUUAGUGGGUCAUAUGCCCAAUCGCUUGUUCUAAUUAUGGUUUUAGUAGUUAUACCCAACUUUUCUAAACAUUGAGCAGUUUUGAUGACUAUUGAAAAAUUUACAGACUUUACAUAUCUUCAAUCCCCAUUCUUUUCUUUCUUUGCUUUCACUUUUCAGCUUCUUCUCUAAAAGAUUCUUUCUUUUCUUGCUUUAAUUCUUAUUAUUUAUUGUCCCGCAUCAGAAGGUGUGUGCAAUGUACACACCAAUAUGGAAAGAAGUGUGUCAUGUUUAGACCACAUGUGUAACUUUCUUUAAACUAUGAUGACGGAUGUACUUGGUUGGAAUUGCCUCGGCAGCAUCUCUCUUUUAUGGUAUUGAUGGCAUAGUCAUGACGUGGCUCUGACAACCUUUUUAUUUUUAUUUUAUGUCUCUUUUUUUAUUUUCUUUCUCUUCUCAACCCCUGAUUCUUGCCAUGCCCCGAAGAGAAAAAAAAAAUAACCACAAUUUUAAUCUACAAUAACUUAUUUAACUUCUUAUAACAAAGCAUAAUCGUGCUUUCAAUGUCAAACAAUGUCAUCAUCAGGAAAAAAAUCAAAAAUAUCGUGUAACUUAUAAAUGGCUCUUCAUGCUGAGAUUCUAAUUACCAUUUAUUUAUUUAUUUUAUCUACUCCAAUCAACAAUUUGUUUAUUCUCAUGAAUAAAUUAAUUUAAUGACUUGAACCGUAAAUAAUCCAAACACUAGCAAACAAGAUAUGGAGAUGGCCAUUCACAAUUGACAUUUCUUCCCCACAACCAGUAAAAAAAUAUCGCACUCCCCCUUCUUGAAUCAUUGAAACUUGCUUGGAAAGAAAUGUUUGAAGGCAAUAAUAUUUAAUUGGUCUCUCUGCGCCCAUGGUCUCUGCGCACAUCACCUGCCCAAAGUCUUCGCCUUUUCUCUCGCUCUCUCAUCCAUUUCUGGAUUUAUUUCUUCGUGUAAAAAUGACAGUAACAGUCACUUCAAUUCUAGUCUCCAUUGUUUAUGUUGCAGUGCUAAGAUGGGCAUGGAGAGUUUUGAACUGGGUUUGGUUCCGGCCGAAGAAGGUGGAGAGGUGCUUGAGACAACAAGGUUUUGCAGGCAAGCCUUACAGGCUUUUGUUCGGAGACUGGAAAGAAAGUUCAGAUAUGUUGAAAGAAGCAAGGACCAAACCCAUUGGUUUAUCAGACGCUCUUCUACCUCGUGUCAUGCCCUUCCUCCAUCAACUGGUCAAGGAUUAUGGUAUUCAAUACGCAACCCUUUAUUAUCUCUCUCGUAGAAAAGAUGCUUUUUCUUGCUAGUUAAAUAUUUCUCCGAUUUAUUAAGAAAUUCCUUUUGUUUUCUACAAGGCGCCAAUGAUUGAGAAAUUAAAACCAAUAGUAUUGUGUGCGUGGAGAAACAAGAAAAAAAAGAAGAGUAAAUUGUGACUCUUUUUAUUGAAUGGAUACAUAAUAGUAUAUAGGUUGCAUGCGAUAAUCUAGAUGGUGCAUAGUGAUUAGCUUAGGUUGUGUAUGAUAUAACCUAUUCGUGUUGUGAGGGUACAAUUGAGUAGUUGUGUGGGGUAAAUACAAAAAUCAGAUCCUAAAUGUUGAUUUAUAUUUAAUAAAAUUAAUACUUUUGUAUUUAUUUAGGUAUAUUAAAAGAAUCAUAACUUUAUGUUUUCCUGCUUGUUAAAGUAAAGCUGCAUCUAGAGAAAGAUUAUACUUUGUCAUCUCUAUUGACGUGUUCAUAAGAAUAUAAAAUCUAUUAGAAAAAGAAGUAAAAAUUCUCUUACAAGAAUUUUCCUCAACAAAAGAAUAUAUAUGUAUAUAUUUUUAAUAAAUAUGCUUCCUCUGACGAUUCAGGUAAGAAUUCAUUUAUGUGGGUUGGGCCAAAACCAAGAGUGAACAUCAUGAACCCUGAUCAGAUAAGGGACGUAUUCAUGAAGAUAAAUGAAUAUCAGAAGUCCUCGCGCCAGCUGUUUAAACCUCUAGCAUGUGGACUUGCAAGUCACGAGGGUGAAAAAUGGGCUAAACAUAGAAAGAUAAUCAACCCAGCAUUCCAUCA
This 25292-nucleotide long non-coding RNA is filed under the name Populus tremula. RNAcentral describes it as "long non-coding RNA (PTRE_LNC000606)". The stretch from base 21382 to 21536 matches the Rfam family "MIR2912 microRNA precursor family". Lineage: Eukaryota; Viridiplantae; Streptophyta; Magnoliopsida; Malpighiales; Salicaceae. The record is from RNAcentral.